CCGUCUAUUAAAGCAUCUAUACAAUCAGAUAUAACA
This 36-nucleotide small RNA is filed under the name Romboutsia ilealis. RNAcentral describes it as "CRISPR spacer". The record is from RNAcentral. Lineage: Bacteria; Bacillati; Bacillota; Clostridia; Peptostreptococcales; Peptostreptococcaceae.